GAGGUCAUGGGUUCAGUCCCCAGGAGGGCUGCUUCAUUCAUUGUGGUCCCCCUCCAAGCCCCAGUCAGGUCUCCAAAUGGCCACUGGUCACAAAUGGCCUUUUGGGAAAGAAUCAACAAAAUUUUUUACCAUUUAUGGGAAAAACAACUCAAAGCAGAUGACUUGAGUUAAUUUGGAAUAUGACAACGAUCCUAUGGGGUAACAAAAUGGUACCCUAGAGGCUGUAAGGACUUCUUGCAGACUGUGCCAAGUGCCACACUUCCUGGGGGUGGCUUCCUUGCUGGGAAAAUUGAUUGACGUGUGUGGGAGGUUCCAAUCCUACCAGUUAAAGGGGAGUGCCAACUAAUAACAGUAGGAGGCUGAAUGCUUAUUCAAAAUGCAGACUCAGAGGGACACUUUAGUAGAAUUUUGGUGAAUUUUUGCUAGUCACUUAUCUAAAAUAGGAAUCAUUUUGGGCCUUCUGAUUAACAUCUGAAGUUAUGCAACCCCUGGGACCAUUUCUGCCACUGCCAGGCCACUCCAACCAUUUGUCUCAAACCGCCAGGAGACCCAGUAGCUGGGAGCACUCAGAGUGAGGGUGAUUCUCAUUCUCAUGUAUUCUCUUCAUUUUCCACUCCAAGCCCUCUCUCAGAAACCACUUUUUCAGGUCCAUUUCCAAUGCCAAGUCUCACUCAAGCAUGACUGGAUGCACUGAUAUCCUCUGAGGCCAUUUCUUGGAUUUAGGGAAGAGUAAUGCCUAAUGAACUCCACUGGCUUUCUCCCAGUUACUAAGAACCCCUUCUCCAGGGCAGACACCAGUUCUUUUUGUAAAAUUUUCUUAAAAUUUUGAUUACUAUAUCCCUUUCAUCUAGCAGAGUGCUUUGUGUAUAGUAGGAGUUAAAAAAAUAUUUGUUGAAUGAAUGAGUGAGUGGAUUAAAGAACCAAAUGUAGAACUGGUUCCAUUUAAACAAGGAUAAUUUUUUUAAUGUUAUAAUUUUCUUGUUUUUCUUUUUACAAACGCAUACAGGAUUAUUGAAAAUAAUUUAGAAAGUAGAGAAGAGCAAAAUUUAGAAAAUAAAAAUCACCUGUAACACCAUCUCUUAGAGAUAACCUUCCUUGCCAUUUUGGAGUGCAUGAUAUCGAUAUCCAUAUGUGUAUAUAUAUAUAUGUCACGUAUAUGGAACUCUUGACAGUAUGUAUCAUUGUAUAAUGUUUUUAUUCAUUAUAUCAAAAUACUUUACAUGAUAUUAUAUAUUCUUCCACAUUAUCAUUAAAACAUUUUUUAGAGCAUUUCAUUGCAUGACUGGACUUCAACUUAAUCAGUUGCAUAUUAAAAUAUACUUGUAGCUAAAAUGUUCUACAUAGCUUUGUUUAUUUCCUUGGGAUAAAUUUCUAUAAUUGCCUGGCUCCAUGGUUUUCUAAUUUAAUAUGUGUUGGCAAGGUAUUAAUCAAAGAGGUGCCACCAAUUUUCACUCCUAUUUGCAAAAAUCUAGUGUACCACCACUAUCCUCCUUUGCCGAACAGUGAGUAUUAUCAUUCUUUUAAAUAUUUGCUAAUUUCAUAGGCAAAAAGUAUAUCAGUGUUCUUAUACUUUGUAUUUCUUUCACUAACAGUGAAACUGAGUUUUUAAAAAGUCUGGUCAUUUUAAUGUCUUCUUUGCAAAUUGUCAGUUAAUGUCCUUUAAGACCUAUAUAUUUGGGAAGGCAAUAUACUUACCCCUUUCUGUUUCAUAGGGCUGUUGUAAGAAUUUGUUGAAGUAAUCUAUUUGAAUGUGUUUGAAAUCUACAAAGCAAUACACAAAUGUAUUGAUCAAAUGUGUGACCUGGUAGGGGAAGGGUCAGGAAGAAUGGUCUCUACUGACAAAUGAGCUGAGUACUGGGUGAAGGCUUGGGUAAGAUUUGUUUGAGGAGGGAUAAGGAGAGGCACCUGUACAGAAAAGGAAAGGAGCCUUUUGUCAAGAGAUUUGUGAAUUUGGGAAGGUCUCUGGAAAUAGACAAGGUCAGAAGCAAUGCAGGGGCUGGCAGCUGGAAAUGAGAGCCAAUUAGAAAGAGCAAGGAACAAGACAGGCCAGAGGAACUGCAGAAAAUAAAAGAGACUGAGUGGGAGUAGGAGACAUCUCAGAUAUCCCAAAACCACCAACGGAGAAAAGAAAAAACGGCAGUGCCACUUCUCUGAAGACUCACCAGUAGGCCAGUGUAACCAAGGCAGCAGGCAUGUUCAAGAACAAACAGGGAAACAGUGCACUGAAGACAGGUGUGGUCCCAUGGCCACAGGACAUCCGCGCUUUCCAAUGAGUCCCUGGAGGAACCACACCUGCAAAAGGCAUGCAAAAAUAGAUAAUUAAAUAAAGACAAAAUAUGGCACUAAAAUUCCCCCAGCAUGUAUAUGAUCCCACUUAUGUAAAAUGAUAUAUAAGGUAUGUGUAAUAUAUAUAAUAUAUAUGCUAUAUAUUAGAGAUGUAUUUUAUUAUUAUUUUUUAUUUUUUUGAAGUGGAGUCUCGCUCUGUCACCCAGGCUGGAGUGCAAGGGCAUGAUCUCGACUCACUGCAACCUCAGCCUCCCAGAUUCAAGCGAUUUUCCUCCUCAGCCUCCCGAGUAGCUGGGAUUACAGGCACGCGCCCACCACACCCGGCUAAUUUUUAUAUUUUUAGUAGAGACGGGGUUUCACCAUGUUGGCCAGGCUGGUCUCAAACUCCUGACUUCAGGUGAUCCGCCCGCCUUGGCCUCCCAAAGUGCUGGGAUUGCAGGCAUGAGCCACCGUGCCUGGCUUAUUCUUUAUAUAUUAUACAUGGAUAUAGGCACAUGCACACAUGCCCUUGGUAUUCUUGAGAUAGUGGUAAUGAAGUGGGAUAGGAAGAAAUAAUUAUAUUUGCUCUUAUUCACCUUUUUAAGUAUUGUUUUGCUUGUUACAGUAAGUACAUAUUACUUCUCUAAUUUGAAAAUAAAGAAAAAUUAAAGGAAUAUAAACUAUGCUGUGAGUGUUGCUUGCCAUCAUCCACUCUGCAGCACACGGGGGGGGAUUCAUGAGGUAAUGGGAGCUAAAUUUCUGGGCUGUCACUGGAGCCCAGGCUAACUCUGGCAGGGGAGUCCUAGGGGGACCAUCUGACAGUCACACCUGCGCCUCUCAGGGCACCAGGCUUAUCACCAUCUUACAUUUAGAUAAGGGGACACUUAGGUGACAAGGGGAAGCCGUACCUCCUUGGCAGGAAGGACCCUGACCAACAGGUGGGACAUUUCUGUGGGCUGGGAGCAAACACAGGACUUCCUGCCAGAUCAGGUGAGGGUGGCCACCUCGCAGGGAAGAGAAACAGAUUAAUUGCAAGGGAAAGAAUUUGAGCUUGGGACCAGGCGUAGUGGCUCACGCCUGUAAUCCCAGCACUUUGGGAGGCUGAGGCCGAUGGAUCACCUGAGGUCAGGAGUUUGAGACCAUCCUGGCCAACAUGGGGAAACCCUACCUCUACUAAAAAUAUAAAAAUCAGCUGGGCGUGGCGGUUUGUGCCUGUAAUCCCAGCUCCUUUGGAGGCUGAGGCAGGAGAAUCAUUUGAACCCAGGAGGCAGAAGUUGCAAUAAGCUAAGAUGGCGCCACUGCACUCCAGCCUGGGUGACAGAGUAAGACUCUGUUUGAAAAAAAAAAAAAAAAGAAUUUGAGCUUAGUAGACGAGAGAAAAACUUUUCUUCUCCUUCAGUUCAAGGGCUGCCAUUGCAGCAGGUGAAACAAAGCCCUGACUGCAGGGGGUUUGUGUUGCUUUAUAUUAGGUGAGCUGCUUUGAGGCAAAACCCUGUUUCCUGUGUACUUUAUGGGCCAGGCACUGUGCCGGGGCUUGAAGUGCAGAAACAAGGCUGAGGUGACCUCUGCUCUUCUGAAGGUCACAGUCAAGCUGGGGAGACAGAUGGUACAGGAGAUCCCAGACCAAGAGUGUCGCCACACGUGGCAAUGAUGACUCUGCAGGAAACCCACUAGGCAUGAGGGUGAAGAUCAGGGCUAGGACUGCUUUGGACCGGAGGUGCUCUCUGGCAGGUCUUUCUGAGCAGAGGACGUUUCAGGCAAGUCGAGGAUGAAGCAGAGUGGCUGACAGUGAAUAGUGGGAUGAAGGAGGCCCAGGAGGUGGGCCUGGCACGUGUCCUAUUCAUCUGCAGAGCCAUGAGCUGGGCUGCUGGGUCAGGGUGGGGUGUGAGAGGAUGGCUUCCUGUUCAGGAGUUUGACUUUCUCCCAAGUGCAAAGGCUAAGUAGUGUGCUCAGAAAUCCAGUGACGGAGCACCUCUGCCUCCACUCAGCACCUAAUACAAAUGGGCUGAAUAAGCAGAAAACAAAUACAGUAGAUGGCUGUUGCAUGCUCAGAAACAUUCCAUUUUAUUUUAUUUUUAAACUUUGGUUUCAAUUUCUAUUAUAUAAAAAGUCACUUCCAUUUAGAUUUGUUUUCGCUGCAAGACCAAGCUACAGUGGGGAGAAUGGGGUCUGGUGUUUAGCCACGUGCGUGCAGCUAGAGGGAAGCAGCUUGAGAUGCCCUCCCACUGCCUGGACCUCAUGAAGUGCUUUCACGAACGAAUCCGUCCCCUUUGUCAUCACCAGACAUACUUGGCUGAGCAGGUAUUCAUAUUGUCUCCACUUCGAAAACAAGGAUGUGGAGCCUGGGAGAAUGGAAAAGACUUGGCAAGGUCUCUGGAACAUGUGCCUGUGUUCUGGUGAGCUUUCUGUGAGCCCGAGGCAAAUGGUGGCCACAUUCAGAAUUGCUUGGGCUUCUACCAGUGGCCUCAGAGGCCGUUGCUGGAGGAGUCUGUGGUGAGCGGGAAGGAGCUUAGGGGUGGCCCUGACAGACCAUCCCCACUCCUCUUAUCACUUCCACACAGUCAAGCCCUUGGUUGGUGUCUGCUCAUCAGGUGAACGGGAGACUCCACCUCCCUAAUCCCACUCUGUGCCCACUGGGUGUCCACAUCCUAAACUUCAUUAGGACUCUGAAGUCCUGAGGUUGGGGCAGGGACCAAAAAGAUCAAUGGAAGUUCUGGCUCUCUCCCCCGUCCCUACACUUAAAUAUUUGUGGUUGUAAUGAUUCUGGAUAUGCUACCUGUCUACCAAUGAGCAUCUUGGUCCUCUGCCAUCCCGAAGCCCUGGCCCAGCCUCCUCCUUGGACUUGUUUCCAAGGGAGUCUACUGUGAUCACUAGGGUCACCCCUUAUCAUGUGAGACUCAUUUAGGUGUGUCAGCAUUUGGGGACACGUGUGACAUUCAGAAUAGCUAGUGUAGAUCUUCAACCAGCUUCCAUUCUAUGUUUCCUGACAGGAUUCCAUUGGUAAUUCUUUGGAGCAAAACGAUGCUUUUGCAACUUAAUCAUCGGCAUUUGGAAUACAGUAUCUCUUGUCUGAGCUUGAAUGGAAAGAACCCACAGUCUGUGAGUUCUAGCCAUUUAGAAAAAUGGCAGUUGCUGUAAGACGUGAACUUGGCAUUUGAAAUCAGCAGACAACAAAGAGUGUGAUAUAAAGAGACAAACAUGGGAUUUGGAGUUGGGGAGGGCUGGGUUCCACAUGCUUUUCACUUGCUGUCAUGGGACUUUGGAGUGGACAGUUUUCAUGAUCUCACUAAAGCCCAUUUUUAUCACCUUUUAAUUGGGGGAUAAUACCAUCUACCUCAUAAUAUAUUGGUGAGGAUUAAAAGAGAGGAAUUAAAAUACCUGGCACAUAAGAAACACUCAAGAAAUAUUAGUUUCUCUGCCCCUUUACUGUUAAUAAUUCAAUUAAUCACUCCAAAAAUAGAACAUUCUUCAGAAUAGACUUCUACCCAUUUGUUGUUGAUGGGACAUCCAAAGGGAUGUGCAAUUAUUUUGUUUGGUUUAUAGUAAGUUGACUUUGCACUUUAAAAGGGGAUAAAGGAAACCUCUGGUACCUCAAACAAUGACCCUUUUAAAGUCUGCACUGGACACCAUUCUCAAAGAAUAUUCUUAUCAACAUACUUUCUUAUAAAUGGAGCUCUACUGUCAUCAAAUAUGUAUAUGUUAGUAGCCUGCAGAGUCAGAGCAGCGCUUGGCAAGCCUGAGGAUGUUUCCCACGUGUGCUGUGGGAUGGCAUAGGCAGGUGACAUCCUUUAAUUUUGUGACAUGGUUUUGCGGGGGGCUCCAAUGUGAGGUACUCUUGGCAUGGUUUCUUCCAGCUCUGGGCCUGUUCUGGGGCCUGUCAGGACUCCCACAUUUCCCAUCUUUGCAGGCAACUCCCUUUGAAGUCCAUGGGAACUCUUUGAAUGGAAAACAUACACAACGGGGUGUUGAUGCCAAUAAGAAUCAGGCCUGAUGUAUUCGAGGAAUAAAGGGGCUUCUCACCCCAAAUAUUAGCUCUUUAGCCCAGAAACUAUGGUUUGAUCAUUAAAUAAAAGAGCACUCCCCUCCCCUAAAAAAACUCACAAUCCACCACCAAAGCUCCACCACCACCAUCCAUUUGCUCUGGAGAUGAUAAACCUGCUAAUUGCUGGAGAGUUUUAAUUAAGCAACAGAUAUAGACAGUGUAGGGCUGUGUUUUCACUUUAAACAUAUCAAUAGAAUAAACAUUCUCAAUUCCAGGGCAACUUGCUAAAUGAAAAAAAAAGUAAACAUUACUUUCUUUUGAAAUAUCACUCAUCGGGUGUGAUAAUUUAGAAAAAUAUCUCUAUUAGAGAUAGUUAGAGACCUUUUUUCUUUUUUUCUUUUUUUUUGGUUGAAAAUGCAAUCGCCGAUGGAGCGCAGAGCUGCAAUUUGUAGACAGGUUAAGUAAAUUAAAUCACUCACUGUCUUUUUUUUUUUUUUUUUCCAAUGGCUUUAAAAGUUAAAGGUAAUUUGCAAAGAAAAUGCUCAGUUUGAAUUGGUUUGUAAUAUCUGUUAAUGAUCUUUAAAAAAAUCCACUUAUUCACAAUUCUGUGCCUGGGGGAAUUCCAAUGUGCUAUCAGAAAAAAUUUCUAAAGUCUGAAAUGUCAUUAGCUAGUGAUUUCUUUGAAGUAAAAAGCCCCGAAAAAAAUAAAUUAUAUAAGGUAUACAAGUGCACAGGACAAUCACUUUGAUGAAUAAUAUCUCUUUUUUUCAUAAUGUUUCAUACCUAAAAAUGCAACAAUUGAAAUUCAAGCUGGUAAAUUAUAGAGCCAUCUUUUGAAUUACCUCAAUGUAGGCAUGCCUUCUGUUUAUUUCUCACAUAUAUUGAGUUCUUCCAUAUAUUUAUAGAUUGUUGAUAUAAAAACAGUAGUGUUGGGAACAAUUUUGAUUAUAUUCAUUGUGUUUACUUUUUGGAAACACAAGGUGUUGCCUAAAUACAGGCAUACAGGUGUUGCCAUCCGGGGAUUAAAACAAUAGCCUAUUUCAAUAUUCCAGCCUGGAUCCCAGAGCCAGGUGCCGUGAAUGGAGGUGCAAAUGCUACUCAGCCUGGGAGAGUUGUUCAAUAUUAGAUAACAGAGCCAUGAAAUACUACACCAAAGGGAAAAUUUUCUUCCUGACCCCAGCUGGUGAUCAGUUUUUGCCUGGAAGCAGGGGAGUCUUUGUAAUACAAUACUUGUCAAUGUUGCUGGUUUGGCUGCUAUAAAUAGCUAUUUUUUUUGGAGGAUGGGAGGAGUUGGAUUUUACUAAACCAUUGGCUACAGGUUAAUUAUACAUUUCAUAAAAAAGCAUUUCUUGUAGCCAGUCUAAAUUUGUUAUGUUUUAAUCCCAUUUUAUAUAAGGCUAGAAAUAUAUGAGCCUCCAGCAGGCCCGUUAUUAUUGUCAUUAUUUUAUACACUGGACCUUCAGCUUUCUCUCUCUUUUUUUCUUUUUCCUCUGUAUGCAUUACUCACCUCUUAGCUAAAUUGCUGAGGGUCCCAGUUUCAUUCAUUCUCCCUCACAGGCAAGGCAUUCUCUUCCUCUUCCUCCAGCUGCCUGAAAAUCAUAUGCGUGGUUUUUCCUGUUUCCUGCUCUGUAGCUGACAUCAGGGGAGAAAACUGAACACAGGAAAAUGGAAAUCAACAUUUGAAACUUUUAAAUGGAAGCUUUAUUGGGGUUCCAUAUAUGGAAAACUGCAAAUAGCAGAAGUAUGUGACUCAAUAAAUUAUUCUGGAGUGACCACAUCCUCUAACUGCCUCCCAGGACAAGAAGGAGAAUGUGAACAAUGCUCCUGAAGGCCCCUUUCCCUCAAAGAAUCACUGCAAUUGAAGGAAAAAUGCUCCAUGUCCCCUCCGCCAGUUGGUAUUUAUUAAAGGACAACGGAGGAAGAGAGACAAAGUGCCUGGAUGUGUGUGUUAAUCAAGAGUUGUCACGACCCUGCCUCUAAAAGAAAGCGCUAAAAUGAUGCUUUUGACAAGACUUUUCUCAAAGUGGAUGCAGUCUAACGGUUGGAAAACAAGGCCCAAUCAGGCUAGGUCUGACUUGUCACCUGCUUUUGUAAAUAAAGUUUUAUUGGCUCACAGACACA
Molecule: long non-coding RNA, 8368 nt
Organism: Symphalangus syndactylus (siamang)
Lineage: Eukaryota; Metazoa; Chordata; Mammalia; Primates; Hylobatidae
Source: RefSeq, a predicted model, not a curated record